This 461-nucleotide ribosomal RNA is filed under the name Haemophilus sp. oral taxon 036. RNAcentral's name for it is "bacterial SSU rRNA". It matches the Rfam family "Bacterial small subunit ribosomal RNA", at positions 30 to 478 of the family's 1533-position model. Lineage: Bacteria; Pseudomonadati; Pseudomonadota; Gammaproteobacteria; Pasteurellales; Pasteurellaceae. The record is from RNAcentral.
AUUGAACGCUGGCGGCAGGCUUAACACAUGCAAGUCGAACGGUAGCAGGAGAAAGCUUGCUUUCUUGCUGACGAGUGGCGGACGGGUGAGUAAUGCUUGGGAAUCUGGCUUAUGGAGGGGGAUAACUACGGGAAACUGUAGCUAAUACCGCGUAGAAUCGGAAGAUGAAAGUGCGGGACCGCGAGGCCGCAUGCCAUGAGAUGAGCCCAAGUGGGAUUAGGUAGUUGGUGGGGUAAAGGCCUACCAAGCCUGCGAUCUCUAGCUGGUCUGAGAGGAUGGCCAGCCACACUGGAACUGAGACACGGUCCAGACUCCUACGGGAGGCAGCAGUGGGGAAUAUUGCGCAAUGGGGGGAACCCUGACGCAGCCAUGCCGCGUGAAUGAAGAAGGCCUUCGGGUUGUAAAGUUCUUUCGGUAUUGAGGAAGGGAUGUGUGCUAAUAGUACACGUCAUAGACUUAAA